GACGCCGGCUGUCAGUUCAUUUGCCGCGGCAGAGCAACAACUGGCUUCUUUCAGCGCUGGGAGCGGAGAGGGGAAGGCGAGAGCAGAGGGAAGAGUGGAAGAAGAAAAAGUGGUAGGGGACGAGAAGGAGAAGAAGAGGUGGAAAAAGAGGAGGAGGAGGAGGAGGAGGAGGAGAUCUUUUGUUAAGCAUCCAUCCCUCCCCUCAUCCCUCUCUGGCAGCAGCAGCAGCAGCAGCAGCAUCAGCACCACUGCCUCCAUCACCACCGCCGCCGCCACCACUCCCGCUGCUGGAUCCUCCGUCUCCUGCCGGGAUCUGCCUCCUCCUUCUCCUCAGGGAGCUCUUCCUGGAACUGGGAGGGGGAGGGAGAUCACCACCUCCCAGCUUGCUGCGGACCCUCGGCAAGGCAUCAGGAGGAGAGGAGGAAGGAAGGAAGGGGAGGGAAUUUUAGAAGAGGCCGUCAGGAGAGCAGAGGAGAGGCAACACCCUGGGUUACAGGAGAGCAGAGGAGGGGAGAAGAAAAGAGGAUCUCAUUACGCCCGGGUAGGACCGGCGCAGGAGCGGUGACGGCAGCAGCCAAAGCUGGAUGAGGACUUCCAGAAGACAGGGGGCAACGCUGGCAGGCCGCGGUUCCAGAGGAGCCAUUGAUGGAACCUUGCCUCACGCUGCAGCGAGGCGUCUUCAAUCAAUGCGACUGCCCCACUUUCUCUAUAUGUGUAUGUGUCUGUUUGCCACUGGAGCCUGAAGGGGGGCUGCCGAUGGCCAUGGUGGUGAUGGUGGUGGUGGUGAUGAUGAUGAUGCAAUGGCAGUGGUGCUGCUCACGUGGUUUCUGGCUUAGCUCCCCCUUGUUUACUGAAAGACUCUCUUCGGUGACGGGUAUUCUUGGGUGGAUAAUACGGAUCACGUUGUUAUUGCUUAAGAAUACGCGUAGUCGAGGAGAGUCCUCUCUUCGCCCAGCAACACCCCCUCCCCCCAUCCCCCGACACCCACCCACCC
This is a long non-coding RNA of Epinephelus fuscoguttatus (brown-marbled grouper), 994 nucleotides long. RefSeq lists it as uncharacterized. NCBI's taxonomy places the organism in Eukaryota, Metazoa, Chordata, Actinopteri, Perciformes, Serranidae. The record is from RefSeq and is a predicted model, not a curated record. The transcript has 3 exons.